This 66-nucleotide transfer RNA is filed under the name Siphlonurus immanis. RNAcentral's name for it is "tRNA-Pro". The record is from RNAcentral. Lineage: Eukaryota; Metazoa; Arthropoda; Insecta; Ephemeroptera; Siphlonuridae.
CAGAGAGUAGUUUAAGUAAAAUAUUAGUUUUGGGGACUGAGGAAGGGGUGUAUACUUUCUCUUUGA